This 440-nucleotide ribosomal RNA is filed under the name uncultured bacterium. RNAcentral describes it as "partial 16S ribosomal RNA". It matches the Rfam family "Bacterial small subunit ribosomal RNA", at positions 338 to 795 of the family's 1533-position model. The record is from RNAcentral.
CCUACGCGAGGCAGCAGUUGGGAAUAUUGCACAAUGGGGGAAACCCUGAUGCAGCAACGCCGCGUGAGUGAUGACGGCCUUCGGGUUGUAAAGCUCUGUCUUCAGGGACGAUAAUGACGGUACCUGAGGAGUAAGCCACGGCUAACUACGUGCCAGCAGCCGCGGUAAUACGUAGGUUGCGCGCUUUGUCCGGAUUUACUGGGCGUAACGGGAGCGUAGGGGGACUUUUAAGUGAGAUGUGAAAUACUCGAGCUCAACUUGCGUGCUGCAUUUCAAACUGGAAGCGUAGAGUGCGGGAGAGGAGAAUGGAAUUCCUAGUGUAGCGGUGAAAUGCGUAGAGAUGAGGAAGAACACCAGUGGCGAAGGCGAGUCUCUGGACUGUAACUGACGCUGAGGCUCGAAAGCGUGGGGAGCAAACAGGAUUAGAUACCCCAGUAGUC